CCUACGGGUGGCAGCAGUGAGGAAUAUUGCACAAUGGGGGAAACCCUGAUGCAGCGACGCCGCGUGAGCGAGGAAUGAUUUCUGUAUGGAAAACUCUAUCUGCAGGGACGAAAAAAGCCGAUACCUCACUAAGAAGCCCCGGCUAAAUACGUGCCAUCAGCCGCGGUAAUACGGAGGGGGGAAGCGUUAGGCGGAUUGACUGGGUGUAAAGGGAUCGUAGACGGGAAGGCAAGCCAGGCGGGAAAGUGCAGGGCUGAAACCCGUACAUGCCUUUGGAACUGUGGUGCUAGAGUGCAGGAGAGGUAAGUGGAAUGCGUGGUGUAGCGGUGAAAUGCGUAGAUAUUAGGAGGAACCCCAGUGGCGAAGGCAGCUUACUGGACUGUAACUGACGUUGAGGCUCGAAAGCGUGGGGAGCAAACAGGAUUAGAUACCCGAGUAGUC
Molecule: ribosomal RNA, 441 nt
Filed under: uncultured bacterium
Lineage: Bacteria
Description: partial 16S ribosomal RNA
Rfam family: Bacterial small subunit ribosomal RNA
Source: RNAcentral